This 67-nucleotide transfer RNA is filed under the name Ictidomys tridecemlineatus (thirteen-lined ground squirrel). RNAcentral's name for it is "Spermophilus tridecemlineatus (thirteen-lined ground squirrel) tRNA". It matches the Rfam family "tRNA". Rfam says of the family: Transfer RNA (tRNA) molecules are approximately 80 nucleotides in length. Their secondary structure includes four short double-helical elements and three loops (D, anti-codon, and T loops). Further hydrogen bonds mediate the characteristic L-shaped molecular structure. tRNAs have two regions of fundamental functional importance: the anti-codon, which is responsible for specific mRNA codon recognition, and the 3' end, to which the tRNAs corresponding amino acid is attached (by aminoacyl-tRNA synthetases). tRNAs cope with the degeneracy of the genetic code in two manners: having more than one tRNA (with a specific anti-codon) for a particular amino acid; and 'wobble' base-pairing, i.e. permitting non-standard base-pairing at the 3rd anti-codon position. Lineage: Eukaryota; Metazoa; Chordata; Mammalia; Rodentia; Sciuridae. The record is from Rfam by way of RNAcentral.
GGUUGUAGCUCAGUGGUAGAGCGUUUGCCUCACAUGCAUGAGGCACUGAGUUUGAUCCUCAGUACCA